Molecule: ribosomal RNA, 491 nt
Filed under: uncultured bacterium
Lineage: Bacteria
Description: partial 16S ribosomal RNA
Rfam family: Bacterial small subunit ribosomal RNA
Source: RNAcentral
AGUGAACGCUGGCGGUAGGCCUAACACAUGCAAGUCGAACGGCAGCACAGUAAGAGCUUGCUCUUACGGGUGGCGAGUGGCGGACGGGUGAGGAAUACAUCGGAAUCUACUUUUUCGUGGGGGAUAACGUAGGGAAACUUACGCUAAUACCGCAUACGACCUACGGGUGAAAGCAGGGGAUCUUCGGACCUUGCGCGAUUGAAUGAGCCGAUGUCGGAUUAGCUAGUUGGCGGGGUAAAGGCCCACCAAGGCGACGAUCCGUAGCUGGUCUGAGAGGAUGAUCAGCCACAAUGGAACUGAGACACGGGCCAGACUCCUACGGGAGGCAGCAGUGGGGAAUAUUGGACAAUGGGCGCAAGCCUGAUUCAGCCAUACCGCGUGGGUGAAGAAGGCCUUCGGGUUGUAAAGCCCUUUUGUUGGGAAAGAAAAGCAGCAGGUUAAUACCCCGCUGUUCUGACGGUACCCAAAGAAUAAGCACCGGCUAACUUCGU